CUGUUUUUUUUUUUUUUUUUUUUUAGUGGGGAAGACUGAAUUUUUUUUUCAAUGGUCACAAUGUAGCUGUCUGGUGAUGUUUACAAAAGGCCCAACCAAAAGACCCCACCUAUCAAUUCAAAUGACAACAAUUCCUUUAAAAAUCAGAUACACUGAACUAUGCUGUAAUAUUUCAACUAUACCAACAGAAAACUUGUUUCAACUUUACAUUACACUACAUCAUAUGCGUGGCUUAAAAACAUCUAGCUUUGGAUAUGCUUGA
Non-coding RNA from Vicia faba (fava bean), 262 nucleotides. Lineage: Eukaryota; Viridiplantae; Streptophyta; Magnoliopsida; Fabales; Fabaceae. The record is from the annotation of a GenBank genome assembly.